CUAGUAACGGCCGAGUGAAGCGGGAAGAGCUCAAAUUUGAAAUCUGGUAGCCUUCGGUUGCCCGAGUUGUAAUCUAGAGAAGUGUUUUCCGUGCCGGCCCAUGUACAAGUCCCUUGGAACAGGGCGUCAUAGAGGGUGAGAAUCCCGUCCUUGACAUGGACCCCCGGUGCUUUGUGAUACACUUUCAACGAGUCGAGUUGUUUGGGAAUGCAGCUCAAAAUGGGUGGUGAAUUCCAUCUAAAGCUAAAUAUUGGCGAGAGACCGAUAGCGAACAAGUACCGUGAGGGAAAGAUGAAAAGCACUUUGGAAAGAGAGUUAAACAGUACGUGAAAUUGUUGAAAGGGAAACGAUUGAAGUCAGUCAUGCUCUUAGGAUUCAGCCGUUCUGCGGUGUAUUUCCUUUGAGUGGGGUCAACAUCAGUUUUGAUCGAUGGAUAAAGGCACGAGGAAGGUAGCACUCUCGGGUGAACUUAUAGCCUCGCGUCAUAUACAUUGAUUGGGACUGAGGAACGCAGCAUGCCUUUAUGGCCGGGAUUCGUCCACGUACAUGCUUAGGAUGUUGACAUAAUGGCUUUAAACGAC
This 581-nucleotide ribosomal RNA is filed under the name Naganishia uzbekistanensis. RNAcentral describes it as "partial large subunit ribosomal RNA". It matches the Rfam family "Eukaryotic large subunit ribosomal RNA", at positions 80 to 648 of the family's 3401-position model. The record is from RNAcentral. Lineage: Eukaryota; Fungi; Basidiomycota; Tremellomycetes; Filobasidiales; Filobasidiaceae.